UUCUUCACUACCAGAAUUGUAAAAAAUGAAUAUUGAACACGACUAGAAGUUGUCCAAAGUUAUUAGGUAGAGCAUCAAACACGAUCACUCAAGUCUAAUGACAUGGGGAUUAGGUGGGAUUGUUCUUUUAAAUUACCAUUUUUUUAUUUUUGGAUAAUCUUUAUUUUAGUGAUUUCAAUCAGAAAAGUCAGAUUUUAUCACUCAUGUCUAAUGACAUGGGGAUUGGGUGGGAUUGUUCUUUUAAAUUACCAUUUUUUUUUUUGGAUAAUCUUUAUUUUAGUGAUUUCAAUCAGAAAAGUCAGAUUUUAUUUUUUUAUCAAAUAAGUGGAUUGAUAUGGAAGAAGGUACAAGUGACGCGGGAAUGAUAAAGAUGAGCCACUAACAGUUUACUUGUGCAAACGUCUGUCCGACGAGUAUGAGCAUAACUUCCCAAGUCCAAAAUUACAGUAACGGAGUUACUAAUUCCCUGGCACUCCAUGAAACAAGAAAAUUGAUCUGUUGAUCAGGGAGGCUUCUAAUUUGACGAGUAUCAACAUUUAUGGUAAGGCAUACCACUGUCAUCACUCGAUUAACAAUGUUUUUCAAUGAGCCACAGCACAAUCACGACUGCCAAAGUUAAUCCCAAAUAUGAUCCCCUCUCUAUACUCGGAUUGGGGUACACAACCAUCAAACAACCAUGAUGCUAAUUCUGAUUUCAGACUCCUCAACGGUAGAGAUCGGAGCUGCUACUACCACUCUCUCUCUCUCUCUCUCUCAGCUGACCCAAUAUAGCGAGCAGAAGCCGGAGCCAAGCAAAUAUGGCUGCACUCCAGUCACAUUCUCUCUCUGACUGAGACGCAGCUGUGAGAAACGCCAACGGUCUUCGGCCGGGAGAGAAACUCACUCUCUCUCUCUCUGUGCUAUUUUAUUUAUUUUUCUAAGCGCGUGGAAAGUUUUAAGCCUGAUGAAUGGUGAAGAUUUAGGCCUUUAGCUCUUCCAGAGUCUCCCUUGUGGUGCAACGUGUAGAGCUGGUUGGAAUAAAUUUUCAUAACUUGUGAUCACACCCAUCUAACCUUUUUUUUUCAUGACUUGUGCGUAGACUUGUGAGGCAAAUGCUGAGGAAAGAGACUAAAAGCAUUUCAUAUUUACACCCUAAGAGAGGCUUGCUGAAUCAUUCAUAUUAAUCAAUCCAGAAAACAAAAAAAGAAAAAGCUGCAGAUCAGCAGACUCCUCCAACAUGGCUGAAGCUGUCGUUUCAAUGGUGAUCCAUGGGCUCAGGCCGCUCGGAAGCUUGAUGAUUCAGCAAGCAAUGUUCUUCAAAGGAGUCGGCGAUAAAGUUGAGAUUGCACAAACCGAGCUACUCUUGAUGCAAGGCUUCCUGAAAGAUGCAGAUGCACGACAAGAAAAUGAAGAAGUGGUACGCUUAUGGGUUAAUAUUAUUAGAGAAGCUGCUUACGAUUUGGAGGAUGCCAUUGAAUCUUUUGUGUUGAAAGUAGCUUUGAAGAGGGAAGCAAGUGUGAAGGUAGUUCUCAAAAGGUUUGCUUGUUUCUUGUGCAAAGGAUUGGAUCGUUACAAGAUCGGAUUGGAAAUCGAGAGCAUUACUACCAAGCUUUCUAAGCUCAGAUCGGAUAUGCAAAGCUAUGACAUAAAGCAAGAAAAGGGGAAUGAAGGUGCUGCUACUUCAAUGAGGCAGCGAGAACGCAGGCUAACCUAUCCUCAUGUUAUUGAUCAUGAUGUUGUUGGGUUAGGGGAUGACACAGAGAUGUUAGCUACAAAUUUGGUGGAAGAAAAAGGCCCUCAAGUGGUAACUAUUUGGGGCAUGGGCGGCUCGGGAAAGACCACUCUUGCAAAACAAAUUUACAAUCAUACGAAAGUCAAGUCUCAUUUUGAUUGUUUUGCUUGGGUGUGUAUAUCUCAACAAUGUGACGGUACAGCAGUUAUGAAAGAAAUUUUCAUUAAACUUAGCGGUGUGUCCGAUGAGCGAAGACAAGGAAUUGCAAGUCUGAGUAAUGAUGAAGUAGCAGAGAGGCUGUGCAAUUUCCAACGACACAGAAAAUGUUUGGUGGUCAUCGAUGAUAUUUGGACUUUUGAUGCAUGGAAAUCUUUUAAAGGUGGAUUUUCAGUGAAUGAGGAAACUGAGAGCCGCAUAUUACUGACCACUCGCAACAGAGAAGUAGCUUCACUUGCAAGGGGAAAUAGCUUACUCUACGAAUCUCAGGCACUAAGUGCAGAUGAAAGCUGGAAUUUGUUUCGGAAGAUAGCAUUCUUUGAAAUGGAUGAUACAAACUCUCAAAUUUAUUCAAAGAAAGAAGAACUGGGAAAGAAUAUGCUUCAACAUUGUGCAGGUUUGCCAUUAGCUAUUAUCGUGCUCGCAGGACUACUAGCUAGAAAAGACACAAUUGAUGAGUGGGAAACUGUGCAUAAGAAUGUUAAUGUAUAUAUAAGGAGAGGCACAGACCUUGAACGAGAAUACCAAGGUAAAAAAUAUGAAGGUGCUUCAUGGGUCUUGGCACUCAGUUAUGACAACUUACCAUAUCGCUUAAAGCUAUGCUUUUUGUACUUGGCAAAUUUCCCUGAAGACUAUGAGAUACGGGUGAAAAGACUGACUCAGUUAUGGAUGACUGAAGGUUUGAUAUCCACGACAUCAACAGAAAUGAUGGAAGAUGUAUCAUAUAGUUGCUUGAGUGAAUUGGUGGAAAGGUGUAUGGUUCAAGUUGUGGACAUUGGUUUAUCUGGGAAAAUUAAAACUUGUCGUCUUCAUGAUCUUAUGCGAGACUUAAGCUUGUUAAAAGCCGAAGAGGAGAACUUUUUACAUGUUGUCAAUUUUUAUACAGGGACGAGAAACAACACAACACAAGUCGGUAGAGUUCGAAGAGUGGCAAUGUAUGUGAACAGCACAGUUGAUCAAUUAGUUCCCACUACAAGAGGUGCUCCCCUGAGGUCACUCUUAUACUUCGGCCCACAACGCUAUCUUCGAAUCUGGAAUAUUAAAAAAGUCAUCCGGUCUGUAUUCAAUGACUUCAAAUUACUUAGAGUCUUGAAGUUGGAAGAUAUGGAAGGACUCAAAGAGUUACCGAGCACAAUUGGGAAUCUGGUCCACUUGCGGUUUUUAAGUCUAAAGAAUACUGGAGUACAAAACUUGCCAUCAUCUGUAGCCAACUUGGUGUGUUUGCAGACUUUAGAUUUACGUACUGAUAGAUUAAAGAAAAUCCCGAAUGUGUUUAAGAAGAUGGAACAAUUGAGGCAUUUAUAUCUGCCCCGGUUUCACAAGGUGCGUGGGGAGCUCUCAUUGGCUACAGCUUGCAACUUGCAGACGUUAGUCAAUGUUGAAUGUAGAAACUGUGAUUUUAAUGCCCUGGUUGAAUUAUACAAUCUUCGGAAACUAUCCAUCCAGGAUUGGGCAGGAUCAGAACUCUGGAAAAAACUGGAGGGAUUCUUGAGAUGGAGAAGUAGUCCCACAUUCCACCAUCUUCGUUCUCUAUCUCUGAAACUGUGGGGUCAUGAUUCAUUAACGGGUUUAUCGGGGUUUCAUUUUAUAUACAAGCUGCGACUGGUGGGGUCCUCAAUCAAGGAGUUACCAGAGAACCUCCUGUCCUUUCCAAACCUCAUCAAGAUAAAGCUGUAUUCUACUCAACUGAAGGGGGACCAGGUAGAAAUACUUGAGAAGCUGCCACACUUGAGAGUGCUUUACCUUCAACGUCGAGUUUUCUCCAGCCUUCCUUCAAACACACUGGUGUGCAGCAAUCGAGGAUUUCGCAAUCUUGAAUUUCUUUCCCUCCGAGGGUUGCCAGAAAUGAAAGAGUGGAGGGUGGAGGAAGGAGCCAUGCCUCGUCUCAGCAGAUUGUGCAUUGAAGACUGCGAGCAAUUGAGGGCAGUUCCAGAUGGGCUUCAAUAUGUUGCUACCCUCAAGGAGUUAACAGUCAAGGCGAUGCCAAGUGAAUUCUGUAGUAGGCUUGGGGAAGACGGGGAGGAUUUCCACAAAAUCAAACAGUGCCUUCUCUUAUCAUAACACCAACUGGAUGGAGAGUUUUCCAUUCAGUCCAUUCAGUUCGUGUUAUGACAAGCUGAGGAAAUAUGGUAUAUGUGAUCGAUUAAUUGACAGUUCGAUUAAAGCCUGGGCCUUGUUUCCGAGGAGAUCGCCGAUACAGUUAUGGCGCAGUUUCUAGGGUUGCUGAGGAGGACGCACUUGCUCUCGCGCCAAACGCUUUCGGCUUCCGGGUGGCUUGGUUCGGUUCAGCCGCUUUGCCGUGGGAUGAGGCGGUGCCGGGGCUUGGUUUUGGGGAUUGUUGGUAGAUCUGCGGCGGCCAGGUCUCUGGCUACUUGGCCUUCAAGAUAUCAGUGUGCUGUAUUUUGAUGUAGAGGAACCAUAUCCAAGCACCUCUUGAGUAUACAAGUUCGGGUUAUUGCUCGGUCGGUCGCACUCUGCAAUUUCGGCUUAUCUUUUUAUCCCUCUUGCCUUGCUGCGAAAAGGUUUCUGCAGUAGCUUGAAGCUCUGGAGUGAUCCCUAUAGGAAAAUUCUUUUGGUGGUAUCUAAAUCCACAAGACUACAAGAAUAUGGCAACAGGCAUUGGAUUGAGAUACUACAACUACGAACAGUUAGGAGUUUUGGAGUUUUGAGUAUUGAAUUUGUCUUUGAGAACAACAAGCUUCUACAGUCCAUUUAUAAGUGAUAGAUUAUAAUAUUUAGAGACCUGAGAAACAAGAACCCAUCUCUAACACAAGACACAAUUCCACAAGUGAUAGAGUAGACAAAAGAAACUGCCUUGCAGUACAGCUCUCUUCUUUCAAUAUCAUUGCUAUUGUUGUUGCUGUAGUGAAAGGUUGGAGUACUGGGAGUGGUGAUUAGCUAGGCUGUGACUUGAGCAAAUUAAGGUCGUAGCAAAAAAAUGACAAGACUUGUGGAUAUUUCAUUAUGCGUUACAUGAAAGAAAUUGUGGAGGACAAGAACUUGGAUUUUAGUGUUAAGUGGGGAACGAGGUCAAAUUUGGUUUACACAGACAAGGAUAUUGAUGAAAUCCGAGCGGAAUUGGCUAAGCAUUUUUGAAGUUCCCAGAAAAUUAAGUAUCAGCCUAUAUAUCUGCUUUUGUUUGUGAUAGCUUGAUAACUUGCAGUAGUAGUGUCUAGGAACUGCUUUUGUGCAUUUUGACAGAACUGAUGGAAAGUGUUGAACAAUAUAAUGCAUGCAAUUGCUGUAACUACUAGAUGGAUGCUACUAGGUUUUUGUCUUAGUUAGAUUAGGAUCCAUGCAACAAUGGCAGGGGUUAAUGUAAAGGCUAGCAUGCUAGCUAGUUUAAUUAGUAUUAUGCUACUGAUGGGAAUGUAUUUUGGUGUGUUAAUUGAUGCAAUGAGGAAUUUGCAGA
Molecule: RNA transcript, 5339 nt
Organism: Rosa chinensis
Lineage: Eukaryota; Viridiplantae; Streptophyta; Magnoliopsida; Rosales; Rosaceae
Gene name: putative disease resistance protein At1g50180
Exons: 10
Source: RefSeq, a predicted model, not a curated record